RNAcentral lists this small RNA (1450 nucleotides) under Histoplasma capsulatum. Its description in RNAcentral is "hypothetical RNA". RNAcentral also lists the same sequence under 1 other name. Lineage: Eukaryota; Fungi; Ascomycota; Eurotiomycetes; Onygenales; Ajellomycetaceae. The record is from RNAcentral.
CAUCAGGCAGGAUAAUAACGGUCAUGUGAUUGAUAUACUAGCCCUACUUUGUUUUGAUUUAACUAGAAAUUCUAUGGGAAACUCGGCUCUACAAACUGGAUCCGUCGAGGGUACUUGUAAGGGGCAGUUUGCUUUUUACAAAACUCCUGAAGCUCAGUUACCAGGGAAUCAGGAUUGCGUGACUUGAAACUGUCUUGCAAAACAAUGAAGGCUUUGACAACCUCGACACGAUCGGGAUCUGGGGACGCCACUACAGCGGAUUCAACAACUGCAGGGUGCUUCUUGAGGACGGACUCGACUUCAAAUGGACCUGAAAGAAUAUCAAUAUCGCCGUUGUUGUUCCAUACCAAUCUGGCCGCAGGGACUCGCGACUCACCAAUCCUGUACCCGGAUGAGUUUAUAACAUCAUCUGACCGACCGACAAACCAAAGGUAACCAUCUUCAUCCUUAUAAGCUCUAUCUCCUGUGAGAUACCAAUAACAGCUUUUCCAUUUCCGUUGGGGCAAUGUAACUUUUCCAUCUGGACUCAGAUAACCGGAAAAGAUAUUAAUGGUUCUAACGCCAGAGCUUGUCGUUGUUGCAAUGGCAAUUUCACCCUCCUGGAAUGAUGGGGAUUCAUCGCCUUUCUCGUCCACAACAGUCAAGGGCACACCAGGGACCGGGAGGCCCAUUGACCCAUACUUGACCUUGGCCCCUUUCAAAUUUCCGCAAACAAGAGUAGUUUCAGUUUGGCCGUACCCAUCACGAAUUUUUAUGCCACUCAUAUCUUCCCAGAUGCGAAUUACCUCGUCGUUCAGCGGCUCUCCUGCCCCAACACAUUGCUCCAGCGCCAAUGGAGGCCUUUGGGAAAAGUACUUGCGCCUUGAGGGAAGCACAAACUGCCGAUAAGCGGUGGGAGGGGAGCAAAGGGUGGUAAUGGGAUAGUUGUGCAGAUUAUCAAGAGCACUCUCGGCAUUGAAAGGGCCGACGGUCUCUUGGACAAAGAGAGCUGCUCCACAACUCCAAGCAGCGAACCAUGCCCAUGCUGCCUUCGCCCAACCUGGCAAUUUGAAUUAUAUUAGAUGGUGGUUUUUGCAUUUGUUAUGUUCAUGGAUAUUCACACCUUGCUCAGAAAGAUUCCAAUAUAACUUUCCAGGUUCUAACCCAAGCCACAGGCUACCAGUCAAAACGUGUGCUUCGAAGAAAACAUUUAGUUCAAGUGCCAUAUAACCUGAAAUUUACAGAAAGAGGUCAAACCUAAAGGGUAAGAAACCUGAUUAUGCAGAACCAUUUUCGGCAUACCGGUUGUACCUAUUUGGGGAAGGUCAGUCCGAACGGGCGUACUAUUGUUUGAAAAUAUUCUAGUAAUAUCAUCCUACCCGACGUAAAAUAAAUGACGGAUGGGUCCGACCAUUUAGUUUUCGGUAACGUAUCUUUAAAGACAAAGUGCUUCGGUAUCUUCUCCAGCUCA